GCUAAGUCGGAUCCUACAGAAGUAAACAUUCUUGCGGAGUUUCUGAAUGUAGAACCUAAGUGUUCUUGCUUCUUCUCCAGCCAGGGAGUUUUGUCAUGCAUACUAACCAGGAGCUCAAGGGUUAUAAAGAAAAAGACCACCGUAAACCACUAAGCAAGAGGAAACAAACAGCUACUUCUAAUAGCGCUGCUGGAGACACUAGUAGUAGAAAAAGGGAUUUCAGUUAAUAAUUCACCUCUUCAGUGCAGCCUGAAUCCUGUCUGCUGCUCACUUAUGAUAUGAUUCAACAGUAUACAAAGAAGUGUUGGACAAUUAAGGAGGACGCCUACCACCAUUCUUCAACUCGACAUGUAGGCGCAAAGGGACAACAGGCUCAGCGACCAAGACUUAAUCGCUGCAAUGCAAUCUGUACAAGUCCUUAGAGGUAAUUUUGGGAAGAAAAUCUGAAAGGAAUUGCUGCCAGUAAGAGGGAAAAAAUUCCAUCCAGAGAAAAACACCAAUGGUAAUAUAUUUUCUUUACAUAUCCAAUAACAUUUUAUGAGACAGCUUUGUGAAAGCAGAUAUUGUCUGAUAUUUUUUAAACAGCCAUUUGAAUAAACAGAAUGUCUUUACUGACAUGUAAAUUUAUAAUUAGAGUUUCAUGUGUAAUGACUAUAUUAAUUCUUAUUUAAUAGCUUCUGAACAG
This 685-nucleotide long non-coding RNA is filed under the name Capra hircus (goat). RNAcentral's name for it is "lncRNA (ENSCHIG00000001122.1)". Lineage: Eukaryota; Metazoa; Chordata; Mammalia; Artiodactyla; Bovidae. The record is from RNAcentral.